GCAAGUCGAACGCCCUUCUUCGGAAGGGAGUGGCAGACGGGUGAGUAACGCGUGGGAACCUACCUAUAGGUACGGAAUAACAGUUAGAAAUGACUGCUAAUACCGUAUGUGCCCGAGAGGGGAAAGAUUUAUUGCCUAUAGAUGGGCCCGCGUUGGAUUAGCUAGUUGGUGAGGUAAUGGCUCACCAAGGCGACGAUCCAUAGCUGGUUUGAGAGGAUGAUC
RNAcentral lists this ribosomal RNA (222 nucleotides) under uncultured bacterium. Its description in RNAcentral is "partial 16S ribosomal RNA". It matches the Rfam family "Bacterial small subunit ribosomal RNA", at positions 57 to 305 of the family's 1533-position model. The record is from RNAcentral.